Molecule: non-coding RNA, 124 nt
Organism: Triticum aestivum (bread wheat)
Lineage: Eukaryota; Viridiplantae; Streptophyta; Magnoliopsida; Poales; Poaceae
Source: Rfam
UUGCUACUCCCUCCGUCCGAAAAUACUUGUCACCUAAAUGAAUAAAAGGGGAUGUAUUUAGAUGUAUAUACAUCCUUUUUUAUCUAUUUUGAUGAUAAGUAUUUUCGGACGGAGGGAGUACGAA